Cylas formicarius (sweet potato weevil) is the source of this 209-nucleotide small nucleolar RNA. RefSeq annotates it as small nucleolar RNA U3. The transcript has a single exon. The record is from RefSeq and is a predicted model, not a curated record. Lineage: Eukaryota; Metazoa; Arthropoda; Insecta; Coleoptera; Brentidae.
AAGAUCAUACUUCACAGGAUCAUUUCUGCAGUAUAUCUUCGCAUACUCUCCACUCAAAAGUAGAGUUUAUCGCAACCAUGAUGACGAGUUAUAGUCCUGUUUCUUGAGCGUGAGAUAUGAUUCCGGAUGAGCUUUGGUUCAACCGGACGUCCACGAUGAUCGUUCACCUGUUUUCGGACAGGAAACGGAAAUGGGACAGUCCGAGUGGU